AACGAACGCUGGCGGCGUGUUUAAGACAUGCAAGUCGCACGGGACUAUUUGAGUAGCAAUACAAGAAUAGUCUAGUGGCGCACGGGUGAGUAACACGUGAAUUACAUGCCCUGCAGAGGGGGAUAGCCCAGGGAAACUUGGAUUAAUACCCCAUGGUAUCGCGAGAUUAAAGGUGGCCGCAAGGCUGUCGCUGCAGGAUUGGUUCGCGCCCUAUCAGCUUGUUGGUGAGGUAACGGCUCACCAAGGCUACGCCGGGUACCUGGUCUGAGAGGACGAUCAGGCACACUGGAACGGAGACACGGUCCAGAAACCUACGGGUGGCAGCAGUCGAAAAUAAUUCAAAAUGGGGGCAACCCUGAUGGUGCAACGCCGCGUGGAGGAUGAAGGUCUUCGGAUUGUAACCUCCUGUCAUCCGGGAGUAAGACCUGGCGAUGAAUAGUCGACAGGGUUGAUAGUACCGGAAGAGGAAGGGACGGCUAACUUCGUGCCAGCAGCCGCUGUAA
Molecule: ribosomal RNA, 503 nt
Filed under: uncultured bacterium
Lineage: Bacteria
Description: partial 16S ribosomal RNA
Rfam family: Bacterial small subunit ribosomal RNA
Source: RNAcentral